UCAGGGUAUCACCCAGAUCAUACAGAUCUUUUCCGAUUACAGAAGCUAAGCAAAGCCAGGCCCGGUCAGUAUUGGGAUGGGUGACCAGCAGGGAAUACCAGGGAUGUCUAGAU
RNAcentral lists this ribosomal RNA (113 nucleotides) under Pogona vitticeps (central bearded dragon). Lineage: Eukaryota; Metazoa; Chordata; Lepidosauria; Squamata; Agamidae. The record is from RNAcentral.